This 497-nucleotide ribosomal RNA is filed under the name uncultured bacterium. Its description in RNAcentral is "partial 16S ribosomal RNA". It matches the Rfam family "Bacterial small subunit ribosomal RNA", at positions 28 to 507 of the family's 1533-position model. The record is from RNAcentral.
GAUGAACGCUGGCGGCGUGCCUAAUACAUGCAAGUCGAGCGAACGGACGAGAAGCUUGCUUCUCUGAUGUUAGCGGCGGACGGGUGAGUAAAACGUGGAUAACCUACCUAUAAGACUGGGAUAACUUCGGGAAACCGGAGCUAAUACCGGAUAAUAUUUUGAACCGCAUGGUUCAAAAGUGAAAGACGGUCUUGCUGUCACUUAUAGAUGGAUCCGCGCCGCAUUAGCUAGUUGGUAAGGUAACGGCUUACCAAGGCAACGAUGCAUAGCCGACCUGAGAGGGUGAUCGGCCACACUGAAACUGAGACACGAUCCAGACACCUACGUGAGGCAGCAGUAGGGAAUCUUCCGCAAUGGGCGAAAGCCUGACGGAGCAACGCCGCGUGAGUGAUGAAGGUCUUCGGAUCGUAAAACUCUGUUAUUAGGGAAGAACAUAUGUGUAAGUAACUGUGCACAUCUUGACGGUACCUAAUCAGAAAGCCACGGCUAACUACGUG